GCCCUUGUAGUCCAAUUGGUAGAGGCGGACGACUCAAAAUCGUCAUGUUGUUGGUUCGAAUCCGACCAGGGGCACCA
This 77-nucleotide transfer RNA is filed under the name compost metagenome. RNAcentral's name for it is "tRNA-Leu". It matches the Rfam family "tRNA". Rfam says of the family: Transfer RNA (tRNA) molecules are approximately 80 nucleotides in length. Their secondary structure includes four short double-helical elements and three loops (D, anti-codon, and T loops). Further hydrogen bonds mediate the characteristic L-shaped molecular structure. tRNAs have two regions of fundamental functional importance: the anti-codon, which is responsible for specific mRNA codon recognition, and the 3' end, to which the tRNAs corresponding amino acid is attached (by aminoacyl-tRNA synthetases). tRNAs cope with the degeneracy of the genetic code in two manners: having more than one tRNA (with a specific anti-codon) for a particular amino acid; and 'wobble' base-pairing, i.e. permitting non-standard base-pairing at the 3rd anti-codon position. The record is from RNAcentral.